AUAUUGGACAAUGGGCGAAAGCCUGAUCCAGCCAUGCCGCGUGUGUGAAGAAGGUCUUCGGAUUGUAAAGCACUUUAAGUUGGGAGGAAGGGUUGUAACCUAAUACGUUGCAAUUUUGACGUUACCGACAGAAUAAGCACCGGCUAACUUCGUGCCAGCAGCCGCGGUAAUACGAAGGGUGCAAGCGUUAAUCGGAAUUACUGGGCGUAAAGCGCGCGUAGGUGGUUCAGCAAGUUGGAUGUGAAAGCCCUGGGCUCAACCUGGGAACUGCAUCCAAAACUACUGAGCUAGAGUACGGUAGAGGGUAGUGGAAUUUCCUGUGUAGCGGUGAGAUGCGUAGAUAUAGGAAGGAACGCCAGUGGCGAAGGCGACUACCUGGACUGAUACUGACACUGAGGUGCGAAAGCGUGGGGAGCAAAC
RNAcentral lists this ribosomal RNA (420 nucleotides) under uncultured bacterium. RNAcentral describes it as "bacterial SSU rRNA". It matches the Rfam family "Bacterial small subunit ribosomal RNA", at positions 361 to 773 of the family's 1533-position model. The record is from RNAcentral.